UCANCCAUAGUGUGCUCUGGAAACUNUCUGACUUGAGUGCAGAAGGGGAGAGUGGAAUUCCAUGUGUAGCGGUGAAAUGCGUAGAUAUAUGGAGGAACACCAGUGGCGAAAGCGGCUCUCUGGUCUGUCACUGACGCUGAGGCUCGAAAGCGUGGGUAGCGAACAGGAUUAGAUACCCUGGUAGUCCACGCCGUAAACGAUGAGUGCUAGGUGUUAGGCCCUUUCCGGGGCUUAGUGCCGGAGCUAACGCAAUAAGCACUCCGCCUGGGGAGUACGACCGCAAGGUUGAAACUCAAAGGAAUUGACGGGGGCCCGCACAAGCGGUGGAGCAUGUGGUUUAAUUCGAAGCAACGCGAAGAACCUUACCAGGUCUUGACAUCCCGAUGCUAUUCUUAGAGAUAGGAAGUUACUUCGGUACAUCGGAGACAGGUGGUGCAUGGUUGUCGUCAGCUCGUGUCGUGAGAUGUUGGGUUAAGUCCCGCAACGAGCGCAACCCUUAUUGUUAGUUGCCAUCAUUAAGUUGGGCACUCUAGCGAGACUGCCGGUAAUAAACCGGAGGAAGGUGGGGAUGACGUCAAAUCAUCAUGCCCCUUAUGACCUGGGCUACACACGUGCUACAAUGGUCGGUACAACGAGUUGCGAGCCGGUGACGGCAAGCUAAUCUCUGAAAGCCGAUCUCAGUUCGGAUUGGAGGCUGCAACUCGCCUCCAUGAAGUCGGAAUCGCUAGUAAUCGCGGAUCAGCACGCCGCGGUGAAUACGUUCCCGGGCCUUGUACACACCGCCCGUCACACCACGAGAGUUUGUAACACCCGAAGUCGGUGAGGUAACCUUUUAGGGGCCAGC
Molecule: ribosomal RNA, 844 nt
Filed under: uncultured bacterium
Lineage: Bacteria
Description: bacterial SSU rRNA
Rfam family: Bacterial small subunit ribosomal RNA
Source: RNAcentral